Molecule: ribosomal RNA, 425 nt
Filed under: uncultured bacterium
Lineage: Bacteria
Description: bacterial SSU rRNA
Rfam family: Bacterial small subunit ribosomal RNA
Source: RNAcentral
GUGGGGAAUAUUGGACAAUGGGCGCAAGCCUGAUCCAGCAAUGCCGCGUGAGUGAUGAAGGCCUUAGGGUUGUAAAGCUCUUUCGGCGGGGACGAUGAUGACGGUACCCGCAGAAGAAGCCCCGGCUAACUUCGUGCCAGCAGCCGCGGUAAUACGAAGGGGGCAAGCGUUGUUCGGAAUUACUGGGCGUAAAGGGCGCGCAGGCGGUCCUUCAAGUCAGGCGUGAAAGCCCCGGGCUCAACCUGGGAAUUGCGCUUGAGACUGGGGGACUCGAGGACGGGAGAGGAGAGUGGAAUUCCCAGUGUAGAGGUGAAAUUCGUAGAUAUUGGGAAGAACACCGAUGGCGAAGGCAGCUCUCUGGACCGUUUCUGACGCUGAGGCGCGAAAGCGUGGGGAGCAAACAGGAUUAGAAACCCCGGUAGUCC